UGGGGAAUAUUGCACAAUGGGGGAAACCCUGAUGCAGCCAUGCCGCGUGUGUGAAGAAGGCCUUCGGGUUGUAAAGCACUUUCAGUUGUGAGGAAAAGCUGGUAGUUAAUACCUGCCAGUCGUGACGUCAGCAACAGAAGAAGCACCGGCUAACUCCGUGCCAGCAGCCGCGGUAAUACGGAGGGUGCAAGCGUUAAUCGGAAUUACUGGGCGUAAAGCGCACGCAGGCGGUUUGUUAAGCUAGAUGUGAAAGCCCCGGGCUCAACCUGGGACGGUCAUUUAGAACUGGCAGACUAGAGUCUUGGAGAGGGGAGUGGAAUUCCAGGUGUAGCGGUGAAAUGCGUAGAGAUCUGGAGGAACAUCAGUGGCGAAGGCGACUCCCUGGCCAAAGACUGACGCUCAGGUGCGAAAGUGUGGGUAGCGAACAGGAUUAGAUACCCUGGUAGUCCACACCGUAAACGCUGUCUACUAGCUGUUUGCGAUUUUAAAUUGUGAGUAGCGAAGCUAACGCGCUAAGUAGACCGCCUGGGAGA
Molecule: ribosomal RNA, 533 nt
Filed under: uncultured marine bacterium
Lineage: Bacteria
Description: bacterial SSU rRNA
Rfam family: Bacterial small subunit ribosomal RNA
Source: RNAcentral